AGAGAGAGGCCUGGUAUAAGGGAGGAAAAAAGGAUUCUGAAAGCAAAGGUUGUUCGUUCUUGAAAAAUUCAACGUCAUUUCGUGCCCUCCUCCUACGGAGGAUUGUUUUAUGGAAACAGCAGCGGAUAGAGGGGAAAGAGGGGAGUUUGUAAAUUUAGAUUAACCCGCGGUUUUUCCCUCAAUGAUUCUCUUGUUUCCUAAAAUUUUUCCUUUUUCAAUAUUCUUCUUCGCUCGAAUAAUUAUUAAAUUUCAAUGGAGAGCGGCAUUAUUAGAUAGUUUCAAAUUUUAAAACGAAAGUUAAAAUGUUAAGUAACGUAUCGUGGAUAUUUAUAUUUGGAUUAAAUUGAUCUGUACAAUUGAGUUAGAAAUCUUUCAGAAGAAGAAUGAAAACUGUGCUGUGUUCAUCGAAUUUGAUUCGAAUCAUUGAUUUCGGGGAUAAAAAGAAACGGCAAAAUCACGUUUCCGGAGAAUUAUCGAAGUUCGAAGGAAAAAAUCGUGUGAAUAAUUCGUAGACCGAUUUAAACUGUAAUGAAAGAAGUGUAGAAAGAUAGGUAACCCAUUCUUAAUUCCUUCGUUAUGACAGCAAUGAAGCAUAACGCGAGUAAAUGACAUGGCAUAUUUUCCGAGAGAAACGUUCAUUAUCGGCGCAGAUUUAUAAUUAAUUUUUGCAAUGGUUUCAGGGUCAUCCGGGUGGAAUCGAGUCUUGAAAUCGUUCCAGUUCGAUGGAGCCUAUCUUUUUUUCAUCUUGAAGAAUCUCGAAGGAUCGUUUUAAGAAAUAUUUUGCUCGAAAAUGCAAAUUGCAUUCAAAAUUACAAUUAUUAUUUACCAAAUCUUUACCUUAAAUUUUAUAAAAAUAUCAUACAAUUGAUUGGCUCGUUUCAUCGGAUUCAAUUCAUUUACAUCAAAUUCAAAUGCUAAUCGGAUUUUCAUUUUAAUUGCCUGCUCGUUUGGCCCCUUCCUCCGAUACCAACAUCUCCAUUUCCCAACAAAAUUUCUUUCUCCCCCCUUUUCUUUUUAUACCGGCCGAACGCGUUUCGCUUCCUCGAUAAAAACCAAGCCACCCCCUCCAUCCUCCCCGAGGGCCGGAGAAUCGUCAAAGAAUUUUUUCUUUUCUCCCCCUUCUCCCUCAAGGGCACGGUUAAACAGGCGAAAAGAAAUAUGCGAACGAGGAGAGUUUGUAAGAAAAUCAUACAAUCGCCUUAAUGGCUAGAGGGAGAGACCGAUGGCCGUAGGCGCAUAAUGGUGUUGAUUACUAAUUACAAUUAUUGGGCAGCGAGGGUACGAUCGAUCCUCCCCCUAUCCAGCUUCGAAUACCUUCCCCUCGCCACCACCAGAAGCGUGUUCGAGAUCGCGGCCAGCUAAUUGCAUUAUACGUGUCAAUAUCCUGGAGUAGUUCUCCUUCCAAUGGGGUUGGCAACUUCGAGAGGGGAUGGGGAGAAGGGGAUUAUUGGAAAUUCGAAAAACCGAGACGCGUUCGUCCCCCCAUUAAUUAAUAUUAAAACGAACGAAAUUCCGUUCAAAAACACCGUGCAAAAAUUCGGCUGGUGC
Molecule: long non-coding RNA, 1548 nt
Filed under: Apis dorsata (giant honeybee)
Lineage: Eukaryota; Metazoa; Arthropoda; Insecta; Hymenoptera; Apidae
Description: uncharacterized LOC116185227
Source: RNAcentral